ACUCUACGGGAGGCUGCAGUAGGGAAUCUUCCACAAUGGGCGCAAGCCUGAUGGAGCAACGCCGCGUGUGUGAUGAAGGCUUUCGGGUCGUAAAGCACUGUUGUAUGUGAAGAAAUGCUAAAAUAGGGAAUGAUUUUAGUUUGACGGUACCAUACCAGAAAGGGACGGCUAAUACGUGCCAGCA
This 184-nucleotide ribosomal RNA is filed under the name uncultured Leuconostoc sp. RNAcentral's name for it is "partial 16S ribosomal RNA". It matches the Rfam family "Bacterial small subunit ribosomal RNA", at positions 335 to 513 of the family's 1533-position model. Lineage: Bacteria; Bacillati; Bacillota; Bacilli; Lactobacillales; Lactobacillaceae. The record is from RNAcentral.